AACUCUCUCUCUUUCUGAUUGAGUGUAAGCUGCUAUAUGAAGGGAUCCACAAGACGAAUAAUUAAGGGGGACCUCUGAUCAACAGCCAGCAAGGAACUGAAUCCCUCAGACCCACAACUCACAAGAAACUGAAGCUGAAGCAGAUUCUUCCUCAGUCAAGCUUCAGGUGCCCAGCUGUAUUGGUAGAGGAGACCAACCACACCCUCCACAGCACAGCACCUGGAGAGGAACUGCUGCCAUGACCAUAGAGGACACCCUCUGGAUACAAUGCCAGACUUGAUGUGGGACUGACCAACCUAUGGACCCCAGGCACCACCACCCAGACCUGCUCAGCACCUGAAACAUUCACAGCCGUGGAGAGAGAACUGUUCACUGCUACCAUCCACACUUCUGGGCCCCUUCAGCAGCAGGGUGACAAGGAAGAGGGAAAUCGACUUGGAAAAGAGGGGACCUCUGACCCAAGAGUUCGGUCAAUGCAUAUGUUGGCAGCCAGCUGCACAUCGCACCAAAUAUGAACUUCAAAUAGAAGAAAGCCUCAUUUGGAAGAAAGCUCAUGCACAGACUGUAAAUAUUUCAGAGCAGAUUGUGUCUCUGUAGAUUAACCGGAUACAGUGGCUUGCACCUGUGGUCUCAGCGACUUGGGCGACUGAAGCAAGAAGAUCACUUGAGCCUAGGAGUUCGAGGCUACAGCAAGCUAUGACCGUGCCACUGCACUCCAGCCUGGGCGUGACAGACCAGCUCUUCUUCUGAAGGAUGACCACCUGGAAUAAGAGCAGCCCUAGGCCCCCCACCUCACUCCAGGUGGCAGAUCCACAGAGAUGGUAGCGAUACAGAAGCACAGCUUCCGAUGGCUUCCCCGUGUCUUCAGUUUGCAGCCUUAUUUCGGUGCUUGGACGUGCUUAACUUCUCAGGAUUAUAUUCUGCUUUGGAGUGCAAGGAGAAAGUCACAGUCUAGUUUUAUGAAGACCAAACUAGAGAAAAUCGAGUUAUCUUAAAGUGUAUGACAUCUCCACAAAUGAAUGUUUAUGGCUUUACACUUGGAGUGUUCUUGGAACACUCUUCAUAGCAAAUCCUCCCUCAGAAGACCCCCACCUGGCAUCAGAACAAACGUCUACCUAAUCUUCCAAACUCUGUGUAAAUCCUGGAUCCACCAUUUACCAGCUGUGUAACCCUGGACAACAAUUCCAUCUUUCUGACCUCAGUGUCUUUCUCUGCAAAACAGCGGUAAGAAUGAUCCUACUUCAAUAGAGUUGCUGUGAGGAUUCACUGAGAUCAUGUGUACCAAGCUCCUACAAUAGUACUGAACCCACAAAAGAUGACUGAGACUCAGAGUUUGUGACUUGUACAAGGCCUCACAGCUAGGAGAUGCCAACAGCUGGGUCCAAUCUCAGCUCGGAAUCUGCACUCUGUCUACAGGACUAGCGCUUUGCCCAAGGAGACCAAAAUGAAGACAUCUUGUCUCCUGGUCUUGAAAAUUAACUAAUUCACUUUUAAUGACAUCAAGUGUAAACAAUCUACCAAAUUAUUAAAACAUUAUCUUUUUGU
Molecule: long non-coding RNA, 1545 nt
Filed under: Homo sapiens (human)
Lineage: Eukaryota; Metazoa; Chordata; Mammalia; Primates; Hominidae
Description: MIR3976 host gene, transcript variant 8 (MIR3976HG)
Source: RNAcentral